UCGGGAAUAUUGGGCAAUGGAGGGAACUCUGACCCAGCCAUGCCGCGUGCAGGAUGAAGGCGUUAUGCGUUGUAAACUGCUUUUAUAUAGGAAGAAAUAGUCCUUGCGAGGAAAGUUGACGGUACUAUAUGAAUAAGCACCGGCUAACUCCGUGCCAGCAGCCGCGGUAAUACGGAGGGUGCAAGCGUUGUCCGGAUUUAUUGGGUUUAAAGGGUGCGUAGGCGGUUUAUUAAGUCAGUGGUGAAAGACGGUCGCUCAACGAUUGCAGUGCCAUUGAUACUGGUAGACUUGAGUAUGAUUGAGGUAGCUGGAAUGGAUAGUGUAGCGGUGAAAUGCAUAGAUAUUAUCCAGAACACCAAUUGCGUAGGCAAGUUACUAAGUCAUAACUGACGCUGAGGCACGAAAGUGUGGGUAUCAAACAGGAUUAGAUACCCGAGUAGUCCCUG
RNAcentral lists this ribosomal RNA (446 nucleotides) under uncultured bacterium. RNAcentral's name for it is "bacterial SSU rRNA". It matches the Rfam family "Bacterial small subunit ribosomal RNA", at positions 355 to 799 of the family's 1533-position model. The record is from RNAcentral.